AACGCACAUUGCGCCCGCCAGCAUUCUGGCGGGCAUGCCUGUUCGAGCGUCAUUGCAACCCUCAGGCCCUGCCUGGCGUUGGAGGACUGCGCUGCAGCCUCCUAAAGCAAGCGGCGGCGGCGCCCCAAAACCGAACGCAGUAAUACAUCUCGUUCUGGGUCUGGGACGUUGUCUUGCCGGAAAACCCCAACUUUUACGUGGUUGACCUCGAAUCAGGUAGGAAUACCCGCUGAACUUAA
RNAcentral lists this unclassified non-coding RNA (239 nucleotides) under uncultured fungus. RNAcentral's name for it is "sequence contains ITS2". The record is from RNAcentral. Lineage: Eukaryota; Fungi.